GACGAACGCUGGCGGCGUGCUUAACACAUGCAAGUCGAACGGAAAGGCCCUGCUUUUGUGGGGUGCUCGAGUGGCGCGCGGGUGAGUAACACGUGAGUAACCUGCCCUUGACUUUGGGAUAACUUCACGAAACUGGGGCUAAUACCGGAUAGGAGCUCCUGCUGCAUGGUGGGGGUUGGAAAGUUUCGGCGGUUGGGGCUGGACUAGGGGCUUAUCAGCUUGUUGGUGGGGUAGUGGCUUACCCAGGCUUUGACGGGUAGCCGGCCUGAGAGGGUGACCGGCCACAUUGGGACUGAGAUACGGCCCAGACUCCUACGGGAGGCAGCAGUGGGGAAUAUUGCACAAUGGGCGGAAGCCGUAUGCAGCAACGCCGCGUGCGGGAUGACGGCCUUCGGGUUGUAAACCGCUUUCGCCUGUGACGAAGCGUGAGUGACGGUAAUGGGUAAAGAAGCACCGGCUAACUACGUG
RNAcentral lists this ribosomal RNA (468 nucleotides) under uncultured bacterium. RNAcentral's name for it is "partial 16S ribosomal RNA". It matches the Rfam family "Bacterial small subunit ribosomal RNA", at positions 28 to 507 of the family's 1533-position model. The record is from RNAcentral.